CACGCCGUAAACGAUGAAUACUAGGUGUAGGGGUUGUCAUGACCUCUGUGCCGCCGCUAACGCAUUAAGUAUUCCGCCUGGGGAGUACGGUCGCAAGAUUAAAACUCAAAGGAAUUGACGGGGGCCCGCACAAGCAGUGGAGUAUGUGGUUUAAUUCGAAGCAACGCGAAGAACCUUACCAGGGCUUGACAUCCUCGGACGACACUAGAGAUAGUGUUUUCUCUUCGGAGACUGAGAGACAGGUGG
RNAcentral lists this ribosomal RNA (246 nucleotides) under uncultured Eubacteriales bacterium. Its description in RNAcentral is "uncultured Clostridiales bacterium partial 16S ribosomal RNA". It matches the Rfam family "Bacterial small subunit ribosomal RNA", at positions 796 to 1041 of the family's 1533-position model. The record is from RNAcentral. Lineage: Bacteria; Bacillati; Bacillota; Clostridia; Eubacteriales.